UACGUAGGGGGCGAGCGUUAUCCGGAUUCACUGGGUGUAAAGGGAGCGUAGACGGCCAAGCAAGCCAGGGGUGAAAGCCCGGGGCCCAACCCCGGGACUGCCCUUGGAACUGCAUGGCUGGAGUGCGGGAGGGGCAGGCGGAAUUCCUGGUGUAGCGGUGAAAUGCGUAGAUAUCAGGAGGAACACCGGCGGCGAAGGCGGCCUGCUGGACCGCGACUGACGUUGAGGCUCGAAAGCGUGGGGAGCGAACAGG
RNAcentral lists this ribosomal RNA (253 nucleotides) under uncultured bacterium. Its description in RNAcentral is "partial 16S ribosomal RNA". It matches the Rfam family "Bacterial small subunit ribosomal RNA", at positions 524 to 776 of the family's 1533-position model. The record is from RNAcentral.